RNAcentral lists this ribosomal RNA (253 nucleotides) under uncultured bacterium. Its description in RNAcentral is "partial 16S ribosomal RNA". It matches the Rfam family "Bacterial small subunit ribosomal RNA", at positions 524 to 776 of the family's 1533-position model. The record is from RNAcentral.
UACGGAGGGUGCGAGCGUUAAUCGGAAUUACUGGGCGUAAAGGGUGCGUAGGUGGUUUGGUAAGUUGGCUGUGAAAUUCCUGGGCUUAACCUGGGGCGGUCAGCCAAGACUGUCAAACUCGAGUAUGGGAGAGGGUAGUGGAAUUUCCGGUGUAGCGGUGAAAUGCGUAGAGAUCGGAAGGAACACCAGUGGCGAAGGCGGCUACCUGGCCUGAUACUGACACUGAGGCACGAAAGCGUGGGGAGCAAACAGG